Molecule: non-coding RNA, 74 nt
Organism: Parelaphostrongylus tenuis
Lineage: Eukaryota; Metazoa; Nematoda; Chromadorea; Rhabditida; Metastrongylidae
Source: the annotation of a GenBank genome assembly
GGCUCGAUGGUGCAGUGGCAGAGCACGCGCUCUUGGAUAGGACGAAACGCGUGUUCGAUUCCCGCCUGAGACCG